AAACGCAGAGCUCUGGAAGUCGCUGUCCAGCGAUAACCGAAUGUUAUGGCCGAUGGGGCCACAGCAGAAGUUAUUAAAGGCCAUGCCGACGACUACGAAUUACAACCUUUGAAACCUCAAAACAAGAAAGAGAAAAAGAAUCGAGAAAAAAAAAACAAAAAAAACGAACGGCGCUCAUAAAGAUGGAGGAGGGUAUGGCGCCAAUUUCAACCAUGCUUCUCCAGUAAAUGUCAGCUGUGGCGCCUCGGGAUUGUAGGACUCUCUCUCUCUCUCUUUCUCUCUCUCUCUCUCUCUGUGUCCAUAAUGAAUCUCUGUUCAUUCAAUCUCUGUUCUUCUUUAGGUUAAUGUCUCAGAUAUUCUAACGAACAGCUAGACUUCGGUUCGUACAGGAACUCUUUUGCUUCGAGCCUUCGACAGAUCGCUGAGAACCGGUAAAGAUCCCUUUUAAGUGUAAGAUUUGAUAUGUGUAUUUUUUUUUUGUUGAGAAGAUUUGAUAUGUAUAUAGAGAUGCUGUUUGAUUUAAUGCCUCUCUGAAUCUUUUCCUUUCAUUUUUUUGGGUAAAUCUUUUUUGAAUCUUUAUUCGUUUAUGAUGUUCUGAUGGUCAUUCAUUUUGUGCCUUCGUGUAGUUAGUUGUUUGG
Molecule: long non-coding RNA, 638 nt
Filed under: Actinidia chinensis (golden kiwifruit)
Lineage: Eukaryota; Viridiplantae; Streptophyta; Magnoliopsida; Ericales; Actinidiaceae
Description: long non-coding RNA (ACHI_LNC002593)
Source: RNAcentral